UUUGAAAGAGUUCAUAGAACGGGGAUGAAAACAAAAACAUACCAUAGAUGAAUCUAUGCAUCCAGCCCUUUCUAUCUUCAAUCUUGAAGCCAAAGGUAUUAGGCAAACCAAAUGAACUAAGAGACGCAAACCUCAGUCUCUGUUCC
Long non-coding RNA from Telopea speciosissima, 146 nucleotides. RefSeq lists it as uncharacterized. The record is from RefSeq and is a predicted model, not a curated record. The transcript has 3 exons. Lineage: Eukaryota; Viridiplantae; Streptophyta; Magnoliopsida; Proteales; Proteaceae.